GAUGAAGAACGCAGCGAAAUGCGAUAAGUAGUGUGAAUUGCAGAAUUCAGUGAAUCAUCGAAUCUUUGAACGCACAUUGCGCCCCUUGGUAUUCCAUGGGGCAUGCCUGUUCGAGCGUCAUUUGUACCUUCAAGCUCUGCUUGGUGUUGGGUGUUUGUCUCGCCUCUGCGUGUAGACUCGCCUCAAAACAAUUGGCAGCCGGCGUAUUGAUUUCGGAGCGCAGUACAUCUCGCGCUUUGCACUCAUAACGACGACGUCCAAAAGUACAUUUUUACACUCUUGACCUCGGAUCAGGUAGGGAUACCCGCUGAACUUAAGCAUAUCAAUAAGGGGAGGA
RNAcentral lists this unclassified non-coding RNA (337 nucleotides) under soil metagenome. RNAcentral describes it as "partial contains 5.8S ribosomal RNA, internal transcribed spacer 2, and large subunit ribosomal RNA". The stretch from base 1 to 120 matches the Rfam family "5.8S ribosomal RNA", at positions 35 to 154 of the family's 154-position model. The record is from RNAcentral.